AUCAUUACCGAGUGAAGGGUCUGCCCGCGUCAAACCCGGGCGGCCCGACCUCCCAACCCUGUGUCUAUCUUACCUUGUCGUUGCUUCGGCGGACCGGUUGACCAACUGGUCUUGACCGCCGGGGGUCUUCAUCCGCCCCUGGAGAGCGUCCGCCGAUGGCCUCUUAACAAAACUCUUGUACCGAAACGUGUCGUCUGAAUAUACUUGAUCAUGAAUCAAAAACAAAACUUUCAACAACGGAACUCUUGGUUCUG
RNAcentral lists this ribosomal RNA (254 nucleotides) under uncultured fungus. RNAcentral's name for it is "partial 5.8S ribosomal RNA". The record is from RNAcentral. Lineage: Eukaryota; Fungi.